GUUCAUAUUUUACAAAAAGUCAAUCAGAACUUUGUUUGUCUGCAAUAGUAAAAGGCUUCUUGAUGCAACAAUAUUAUCCAGAAAUGUAUAAUUAUAAUGAUAUACACAUAAAGGACAUUUGUCUGCACAAUGAUUACUUUGUCCUUUUAUACUUUAAAUACAUUCGGCUGAUAACCCUUUCUUCUUUUUAUCAAAGUAACAUUUGAAUGCAGGACUUUCUACUUGUGAUGAAGUAUUUUGUCAAUAAUGUUUUGGUGCUCAAGUAAAGCCUCUGGAGCUGCAGGUGAAUCCAAAACCCUCUCAUGAUCCUGAUGAGUUUGGUUCGUUUCUGAAGAAAUCAUUUCCAAAUUGUUUUUCAGGAAAAAAUACAAAUAAAUGUAUAAAAUGCACUUCUUUCUCCAGGGUAGAAGUAUUUCCUUAUACAUAGUUUUAUAUUAAAUUAAAAUAAUCAAUAACAAAUAAGUUUUUUCUUUUAUUAUUAUUAUUAUUUGUAUUUAUUUGUUUCUUUCUCUCCUCUAGUAGUGUUGUAACAGAAUAUGAUACAUCUUCACAGCCAGGUGAUAUCUUUGUGUGUGGAGUUAUACAAGCUGUUUUUAGGCAACAAUACAUUUAAUAUAUUCCAUAUUUAAAUAACUAGUCAGUCAUCAACAUUUGAUCUGUUUGUCCUUCCUUGUCUCCAGGUAAAGUGUGCAAUCAGAGCUGAAUGUGGAUGAUGUUGUCAGUGACAGAAGUCUGAAGGAUAAAGAAGAAGAGCAUUUUAAUAUCAGACUGCUGCCUUUAAGUAUUACACUGUUGAAAAAGGUCAUGUCUACGUUAAAAAGUGCCGAGGGGGUCGUCUUUGGUUUUUCCCACUUCAACGUUGUGCAGCUCAACCUUUCCUCCAUUACAAGGAAGUUGUUGGAAGACACUCAGAUGAAUGUAGUCCUCCUCUCCAGCAAAGACCUGCAGGAAAGAGAGGGGAAAUGUCACAUCUGAAAUUAUAAAUCUGAUUCAUGUGAAGCUUCUGUCAAACUGCAGUAAACUGUCCUGCAAUGAAUUCAACCUGGCAUUAGAUUUAAAGAGCCCUAUUCUGCUUUUUGUCUCUGUCCUGUGUGUUCUAUAGGUUUUAGUGCAUGUAGUCUGCAAAGGCUAAAAUCCCUGUCUUCCCUCCAGAGGGAGUUUCUGUCCGUGCGUCCCCCCCCCAAAUUGAUUUGGUUAAUUGAUUAAUCUUGUAUAUGAUAUAAAGACAAACACGCUA
Long non-coding RNA from Gymnodraco acuticeps, 1237 nucleotides. RefSeq lists it as uncharacterized. NCBI's taxonomy places the organism in Eukaryota, Metazoa, Chordata, Actinopteri, Perciformes, Bathydraconidae. The record is from RefSeq and is a predicted model, not a curated record. The transcript has 2 exons.